UUGGUGCAGGUGGAGUUGGAGUGAGUUAUCAUGAAAAUGAUCAUAGUUUAUGUGUUACCCAACCUCCAUUUGCCGCCGCAUCCUAGUAAUAUCUACGUAGACAGAGUAAUAAUAAUAAUAAUAAUAAUAAUAAUAAUAAUAAUAAUAAUAUUUAGACAUGGCCACCACCAGGAGGAGCAUUGGCAUGUUCUCUCCGGAAUUGCACAUGCAACAGAGAAUCCCCUACACGGCCAUGUGGCCAUGAAGAAAACUGAGAGUUGUUAUCUAUAAAACACCGCCUCUCUGUCCUCCUCUUAAAAGCCUCUGGCUGGCUCUCCCAGCAAAGUCAGCAAAUUCUACAACUACAAGCAUAUUCUGGGGUUCCCGUUUUCUCUCGGAAAAUGUGUAUGCCUACUUCCGUGGCUUUGAUGUGGAUUCUGGCACUCUUGUGGUGCUCGGGAUUGGGGGCACGGGGAGAAUACAUGAUGAAAUACAAAGACCCUAAACAGCCCCUGAAUGCGCGAAUCAAGGACCUCAUGAACCGAAUGACUUUGAAGGAGAAGAUUGGCCAAAUGGUGCAGAUUGAGCGCAGUGUUGCAUCUGCCAAGCUCAUGAAGCACCACUUCAUUGGGAGUGUGUUGAGUGGCGGUGGGAGUGGACCGGCCAAAAGGGCUUCCCCCAAGAAGUGGAUCAAAAUGGUGAAUGAAUUCCAGAAGGGUUCGCUAUCAACCCGUCUCGGCAUCCCGAUGAUUUAUGGGAUUGAUGCCAUUCACGGCCACAAUAAUGUUUACAAGUCCACAAUUUUCCCUCACAACAUUGGGCUUGGAGCAACAAGGGACCCGGAACUAGUGAAGCGAAUUGGAGCUGCAACUGCUCUGGAAGUUAGAGCUACAGGAAUCAAUUAUGUCUUUGCGCCCUGUAUUGCGGUUUGUAGAGAUCCAAGAUGGGGACGGUGCUAUGAGAGCUAUAGUGAAGAUCACAAGAUUGUUCAAGCAAUGACCGAGAUUAUAGCAGGAUUACAAGGGGAUAUUCCUCCCAAUUCUAGGAAAGGGGUCCCCUUCGUCGCUGGCAAAACAAAGGUUGCAGCAUGUGCCAAACACUACGUGGGGGACGGGGGCACGAGGAAGGGCAUCAAUGCAGAUGACACCAAAUUAAGCUGGCAUGGUUUGCUGAGCACCCACAUGCCACCAUACUACAACUCUAUUAUCAAGGGCGUGGCCACCAUCAUGGUGUCCUACUCCAGCUUCAAUGGCCGCAAGAUGCAUGCCAACCCACUUCUCAUCACUAGCUUCCUCAAGCACACCCUCCAUUUCAGAGGUUUUGUCAUCUCAGAUAUGGAGGGUAUUGAUUGGAUCACGUCUCCUCCUCAUGCUAAUUAUUCAUAUUCAAUCCAAGCUGGAAUUCUAUCUGGGAUUGACAUGGUCAUGGUUCCUUUCAACUAUACUGAAUUUAUUGAUGAUCUAACCCGCAUGGUAAGGAAGAGGAUCAUUCCCAUUAGCCGAAUCAACGACGCAGUGAGAAGGAUUCUGAGGGUGAAGUUUGUGAUGGGUCUUUUUGAGAACCCUUUUGCUGAUCACAAUCUUGUACAUCAGCUAGGAAGUCAGGAGCACAGAAACUUAGCCAGAGAAGCAGUGAGAAAAUCUCUUGUGCUGUUAAAAAAUGGUAAUUCAGCGGACAAGCCACUGCUACCCCUUCACAAGAAGGUGCCAAAAAUACUUGUUGCUGGAAGCCAUGCAGACAAUCUAGGUUACCAAUGCGGGGGUUGGACAAUCGAGUGGCAAGGACUUAGUGGCAAUAACCUCACAGCAGGCACAACAAUCCUCUCUGCCAUAAAGGGUACGGUUGACCCAACAACUAAAGUCUUCUACAAGAAGAACCCGAGUUCUCACUUUGUCAACUCUGCUAAAUUAUCGUAUGCCGUUGUUGUGGUAGGAGAACAUCCUUAUGCAGAGACAUAUGGUGACAGCCGAAAUUUGACAAUCCCUCACCCCGGUCCAAGCACAAUUAGAAAUGUUUGUGGAUCUGUGAAAUGUGUUGUCAUCAUUGUUUCAGGCCGCCCAGUUGUUAUUCAACCGUAUCUUGCCGAAAUAGAUGCACUCAUUGCUGCUUGGCUUCCAGGUUCUGAAGGCCAAGGAGUUGCUGACGUUUUGUUUGGUGACCAUGGUUUUACUGGCAAACUGCCGAUCAGCUGGUUCAAGACUGUCGACCAACUCCCAAUGAAUGUUGGGGACAUAGAUUAUGAUCCUCUCUUCCCAUUAGGAUUUGGACUCACCACGGAACCCACCAAGGCACACUAGAAGUACUCCAUGGAGGAUUCUGAAGUCAACACUACCUGCUGUUUAAAUCUUAUUUUAUCAUCUCUCACAUUUUCUACACACAGGGCACAACAGCAAUAUUCACAUAGCUAGAGAAGAAUAUACACAUUUAUACUUUCAAAGUUGUACUGUCCCAAUGCUCUGUAGGCCUUCAUUCAUUACAUAUGGAGCAUGUUCUAUUCAGAGCAGCACUCUUGAUUUGUUACCAUGGUCUGGGAAUAAAAAGCUAACAAAUUCCCUCAUGAAGGUGCAAUCAGAAGAACAAAAAUAUAUUUAUUUGCUGAUGUUAAGGAUAAAGGAAAGUGUGUAACUGAUGCCUAACAUGAGGGCAGAUAAUUCAUGGGAAGUCUAUCAGCAAAUACAAUUUAUGAAUGCCCUGCCCUUCUUCAUCAGUUUAAGCAAUGAAGUAAUCAUAAGGUGCAAUCUAACAUCAGCUAGCUACUUACCCUCGUUAC
Diospyros lotus (date-plum) is the source of this 2749-nucleotide RNA transcript. RefSeq lists it as uncharacterized. The record is from RefSeq and is a predicted model, not a curated record. The transcript is spliced from 11 exons. NCBI's taxonomy places the organism in Eukaryota, Viridiplantae, Streptophyta, Magnoliopsida, Ericales, Ebenaceae.